GGUCCUGGGUCACUUUCUCUUCUCAUCUUAACCGUCAGCUGCUAAGUCACCACGUGCUCUAACGUUGUUACAGCCCUUUACCUUUUUCCCAAAAGGAUUCUUACUGUGCAGUGUCUUCAGAUGACUCUCAGGGAUAUCCUGGGAGAACCCUAAAACAACACAGGCUAUUGAUCUUGGUCAUCCUCCAGAACGUGAUGUGAGGGCCAGGCCUCCAGCAAGAAGAAGAGACGCCUAUCCACAGCAAACCCACUAUUGGAUCGCAGGCUACUGAGGUCCUCAGAGAAGACCUCCAUCCAGCAGGAGUUGACUCUGAAGACAGCUGAUCUCUGGGUCUCCUGUGCAGGGAGACAGUGCUCUCGACUGGCACACAUCAGGCCGCCAGUCACAGUCGGCCAACUCCUCACCAUCUCUUCUGCUUCGGCUACUCCAGUGACUGCCAGGCAAUCUGCAUCGUCACAGCUAGCAGGGACCCGGUUGAGUACCUGAUGCAGCAGCUCUCAAAGCAUAUCCCUGGACCAGCAGCUUCAGUCAUGUCUGAGAACUUGCUGGAAAGAUGGCACCUUUGGGUUUCCUGAAUCAGGAACUGUGCAAUGGGACCAACGGGUUCUGUAACCAGCCUUCCAGGGGGGUCGCAUUUGUGCUGAACUCGGAGAACCACUCACGUGCUUCAAUGGUCCCAUUUUACAGAUGAGAAGAACGAGGGUUGGGAGAAGUCUAUGCUUCCAGUCAAGGCCCAAAUCGAGUCUCUUUCUCCCAUUUGUAAGCACAAGGUCAGCACAGCAGCUGCCUCAUGGUGCGCUCAGCCAUCAGUGCGGCUCUGCCGACUAAUGGGAUGAACGGAAGCUCUGAAAUUCGA
This is a non-coding RNA of Myodes glareolus (Bank vole), 856 nucleotides long. NCBI's taxonomy places the organism in Eukaryota, Metazoa, Chordata, Mammalia, Rodentia, Cricetidae. The record is from RefSeq and is a predicted model, not a curated record.